Molecule: long non-coding RNA, 229 nt
Filed under: Elaeis guineensis (African oil palm)
Lineage: Eukaryota; Viridiplantae; Streptophyta; Magnoliopsida; Arecales; Arecaceae
Description: long non-coding RNA (EGUI_LNC016229)
Source: RNAcentral
AGGUAUCUUUGAAUAAAUAAAGAAAAAAAUUACUUAGAAUCCUGGGGAUCAUUUGCAUGCGAUUUUGGAAGUUUAUGGAGGAUGUUGAGGUGAAAUCAUUCCCAUAUAGUAUAGUCUACAAAGCCUGGACAUGAUUACAAGGUGGGGAUACGGUACACAGGUAUACUAUUCUGUAAACCCUGAAUUUGGUAUAAAGCACAUCAUACUGAGCAAAUUUUUAAAUCCCCGC